CGUGGGGAGCUAUACAUGCAGUCGAGCGGACCGACGGGAGCUUGCUCCCUUAGGUCAGCGGCGGACGGGUGAGUAACACGUGGGUAACCUGCCUGUAAGACUGGGAUAACUCCGGGAAACCGGGGCUAAUACCGGAUGCUUGAUUGAACCGCAUGGUUCAAUCAUAAAAGGUGGCUUUUAGCUACCACUUACAGAUGGACCCGCGGCGCAUUAGCUAGUUGGUGAGGUAACGGCUCACCAAGGCGACGAUGCGUAGCCGACCUGAGAGGGUGAUCGGCCACACUGGGACUGAGACACGGCCCAGACUCCUACGGGAGGCAGCAGUAGGGAAUCUUCCGCAAUGGACGAAAGUCUGACGGAGCAACGCCGCGUGAGUGAUGAAGGUUUUCGGAUCGUAAAACUCUGUUGUUAGGGAAGAACAAGUACCGUUCGAAUAGGGCGGCACCUUGACGGUACCUAACCAGAAAGCCACGGCUAACUACGUGCCAGCAGCCGCGGUAAUACGUAGGUGGCAAGCGUUGUCCGGAAUUAUUGGGCGUAAAGCGCGCGCAGGCGGUUUCUUAAGUCUGAUGUGAAAGCCCCCGGCUCAACCGGGGAGGGUCAUUGGAAACUGGGGAACUUGAGUGCAGAAGAGGAGAGUGGAAUUCCACGUGUAGCGGUGAAAUGCGUAGAGAUGUGGAGGAACACCAGUGGCGAAGGCGACUCUCUGGUCUGUAACUGACGCUGAGGCGCGAAAGCGUGGGGAGCGAACAGGAUUAGAUACCCUGGUAGUCCACGCCGUAAACGAUGAGUGCUAAGUGUUAGAGGGUUUCCGCCCUUUAGUGCUGCAGCAAACGCAUUAAGCACUCCGCCUGGGGAGUACGGUCGCAAGACUGAAACUCAAAGGAAUUGACGGGGGCCCGCACAAGCGGUGGAGCAUGUGGUUUAAUUCGAAGCAACGCGAAGAACCUUACCAGGUCUUGACAUCCUCUGACAACCCUAGAGAUAGGGCUUCCCCUUCGGGGGCAGAAUGACAGGUGGUGCAUGGUUGUCGUCAGCUCGUGUCGUGAGAUGUUGGGUUAAGUCCCGCAACGAGCGCAACCCUUGAUCUUAGUUGCCAGCAUUCAGUUGGGCACUCUAAGGUGACUGCCGGUGACAAACCGAAGGAAGGUGGGGAUGACGUCAAAUCAUCAUGCCCCUUAUGACCUGGGCUA
Molecule: ribosomal RNA, 1193 nt
Filed under: Bacillus sp. (in: firmicutes)
Lineage: Bacteria; Bacillati; Bacillota; Bacilli; Caryophanales; Bacillaceae
Description: bacterial SSU rRNA
Rfam family: Bacterial small subunit ribosomal RNA
Source: RNAcentral